UGGGGAAUAUUGCACAAUGGGCGAAAGCCUGAUGCAGCAACGCCGCGUGAGGGACGACGGCCUUCGGGUUGUAAACCUCUUUUAGCAAGGAAGAAGCGAAAGUGACGGUACUUGCAGAAAAAGCGCCGGCUAACUACGUGCCAGCAGCCGCGGUAAUACGUAGGGCGCAAGCGUUAUCCGGAAUUAUUGGGCGUAAAGAGCUCGUAGGCGGUUUGUCGCGUCUGCUGUGAAAACCCGAGGCUCAACCUCGGGCCUGCAGUGGGUACGGGCAGACUAGAGUGCGGUAGGGGAGAUUGGAACUCCUGGUGUAGCGGUGGAAUGCGCAGAUAUCAGGAAGAACACCGAUGGCGAAGGCAGAUCUCUGGGCCGUAACUGACGCUGAGGAGCGAAAGGGUGGGGAGCAAAACAGGCUUAGAUACCCUGGUAGUCCACCCGUAAACGUUGGGAACUAGUUGUGGGGUCCAUUCCACGGAUUCCGUGACGCAGCUAACGCAUUAAGUUCCCCGCCUGGGGAGUACGGCCGCAAGGCU
Molecule: ribosomal RNA, 530 nt
Filed under: uncultured bacterium
Lineage: Bacteria
Description: partial 16S ribosomal RNA
Rfam family: Bacterial small subunit ribosomal RNA
Source: RNAcentral